CCCCAUGACUCACUUCUGCCCAAGAUGGCGGUGCCAUGUAGUGCAUAGGACAAGGUGAAAUGACAAGACCUCAUAGUUCCCUCGCAACACAGCAUAAUUUUGUAGGGCGUACAAAUAUAUUGUGAAACCAACACUACCCUGUUUUAAAAGCCUCCUCGAACGUUCACUGGGACGUGAGGUCUAAGCAGCGGAAGAGGGAAUGUGCCGGGUCAUGGCUGCUGCCCUGAGACAGAGAGAAGACUAUGCACAGUCUAGAAGGAAGGCCAUCCUUGGACAGCUGCAG
Long non-coding RNA from Phyllostomus discolor (pale spear-nosed bat), 283 nucleotides. RefSeq lists it as uncharacterized. The record is from RefSeq and is a predicted model, not a curated record. The transcript is spliced from 2 exons. Lineage: Eukaryota; Metazoa; Chordata; Mammalia; Chiroptera; Phyllostomidae.